RNAcentral lists this ribosomal RNA (253 nucleotides) under uncultured bacterium. RNAcentral describes it as "partial 16S ribosomal RNA". It matches the Rfam family "Bacterial small subunit ribosomal RNA", at positions 524 to 776 of the family's 1533-position model. The record is from RNAcentral.
UACAGGGGGUGCAAACGUUGCUCGGAAUCAUUGGGCGUAAAGCGCACGUAGGCGGUCUGUUAUGUCGGAUGUGAAAGCCCUUGGCUUAACUGAGGAAGUGCAUCCGAAACUGGCAGGCUAGAGUACUAAAGAGGGUCGCGGAAUUCCCGGUGUAGAGGUGAAAUUCGUAGAUAUUCGCAAGAACACCAGUGGCGAAGGCGGCUCACUGGUCCGGUACUGACGCUGAGGUGCGAAAGCGUGGGGAGCAAACAGG